This 1157-nucleotide ribosomal RNA is filed under the name human gut metagenome. RNAcentral describes it as "bacterial LSU rRNA". It matches the Rfam family "Bacterial large subunit ribosomal RNA", at positions 1773 to 2925 of the family's 2925-position model. The record is from RNAcentral.
GAGGGCGCAGAGAAUAGGUCCAGGCAACUGUUUAACAAAAACACAGGGCUGUGCAAAAUUGAAAGAUUACGUAUACAGCCUGACACCUGCCCGGUGCUGGAAGGUUAAGAGGAGAUGUCAUCGCAAGAGAAGCAUUGAAUUGAAGCCCCAGUAAACGGCGGCCGUAACUAUAACGGUCCUAAGGUAGCGAAAUUCCUUGUCGGGCAAGUUCCGACCUGCACGAAUGGCAUAAUGAUGGCCACACUGUCUCCUCCUGAGACUCAGUGAAGUUGAAAUGUUUGUGAUGAUGCAAUCUCCCCGCGGCUAGACGGAAAGACCCCAUGAACCUUUACUGCAGCUUUGCAUUGGACUUUGAACCGAUCUGUGUAGGAUAGGUGGGAGGCAGUGAAGCUAGGACGCCAGUCUUAGCGGAGCCAACCUUGAAAUACCACCCUGAUUUGUUUGAGGUUCUAACCUAGGAGCGUAAUCCGCUUCGGGGACCGUGCAUGGUAGGCAGUUUGACUGGGGCGGUCUCCUCCUAAAGGGUAACGGAGGAGUGCGAAGGUACGCUAGGUACGGUCGGAAAUCGUGCUGAUAGUGCAAUGGCAAAAGCGUGCUUGACUGCGAGACCGACAAGUCGAGCAGAUACGAAAGUAGGUCAUAGUGAUCCGGUGGCUCUGCAUGGAAGGGCCAUCGCUCAACGGAUAAAAGGUACUCUGGGGAUAACAGGCUGAUACCGCCCAAGAGUUCAUAUCGACGGCGGUGUUUGGCACCUCGAUGUCGGCUCAUCUCAUCCUGGGGCUGUAGCCGGUCCCAAGGGUAUGGCUGUUCGCCAUUUAAAGAGGUACGUGAGCUGGGUUUAAAACGUCGUGAGACAGUUUUGUCCCUAUCUGCCGUGGGCGUUGGAAGAUUGACGGGGGCUGCUCCUAGUACGAGAGGACCGGAGUGGACUCACCUCUGGUGUACCGGUUGUCACGCCAGUGGCAUCGCCGGGUAGCUAUGUGGGGAAAGGAUAACCGCUGAAAGCAUCUAAGCGGGAAACCUGCCUGAAGAUAAGUCUUCCUGGAGGCUAGACCUCCCUGAAGAGUCGUUCGAGACCAGGACGUUGAUAGGUUGGAUGUGCAAGCGCUGUGAGGCGUUGAGCUGACCAAUACUAAUUGCUCGUGAAGCUUGAUCCU